RNAcentral lists this ribosomal RNA (448 nucleotides) under uncultured organism. RNAcentral's name for it is "partial 16S ribosomal RNA". It matches the Rfam family "Bacterial small subunit ribosomal RNA", at positions 332 to 797 of the family's 1533-position model. The record is from RNAcentral.
UACACUCCUGCGGGAGGCAGCAGUGGGGAAUAUUGGACAAUGGGCGCAAGCCUGAUCCAGCCAUGCCGCGUGAGUGAUGAAGGCCCUAGGGUUGUAAAGCUCUUUCACCGGUGAAGAUAAUGACGGUAACCGGAGAAGAAGCCCCGGCUAACUUCGUGCCAGCAGCCGCGGUAAUACGAAGGGGGCUAGCGUUGUUCGGAUUUACUGGGCGUAAAGCGCACGUAGGCGGACUAUUAAGUCAGGGGUGAAAUCCCGGGGCUCAACCCCGGAACUGCCUUUGAUACUGGUAGUCUUGAGUUCGAGAGAGGUGAGUGGAAUUCCGAGUGUAGAGGUGAAAUUCGUAGAUAUUCGGAGGAACACCAGUGGCGAAGGCGGCUCACUGGCUCGAUACUGACGCUGAGGUGCGAAAGCGUGGGGAGCAAACAGGAUUAGAAACCCGGGUAGUCCC